RNAcentral lists this ribosomal RNA (305 nucleotides) under uncultured bacterium. Its description in RNAcentral is "bacterial SSU rRNA". It matches the Rfam family "Bacterial small subunit ribosomal RNA", at positions 332 to 654 of the family's 1533-position model. The record is from RNAcentral.
GGUACCCUACGGGAGGCAGCAGUGGGGGAUAUUGCACAAUGGGGGAAACCCUGAUGCAGCGACGCCGCGUGGGUGAAGAAGUAUUUCGGUAUGUAAAGCCCUAUCAGCAGGGAAGAAAGAAGACGGUACCUGACUAAGAAGCCCCGGCUAACUACGUGCCAGCAGCCGCGGUAAUACGUAGGGGGCGAGCGUUAUCCGGAUUCACUGGCUGUAAAGGGGGCGCAGACGGCGAUGCAAGCCAGGAGUGAAAGCCCGGGGCCCAACCCCGGGACUGCUCUUGGAACUGCGUGGCUAGAGUGCAGGAG